This 301-nucleotide ribosomal RNA is filed under the name uncultured bacterium. RNAcentral describes it as "partial 16S ribosomal RNA". It matches the Rfam family "Bacterial small subunit ribosomal RNA", at positions 509 to 808 of the family's 1533-position model. The record is from RNAcentral.
CAGUCGCCACGGUAAUACGUAGGUGGCAAGCGUUGUCCGGAAUUAUUGGGCGUAAAGGGCUCGCAGGCGGUUUCUUAAGUCUGAUGUGAAAGCCCCCGGCUCAACCGGGGAGGGUCAUUGGAAACUGGGAAACUUGAGUGCAGAAGAGGAGAGUGGAAUUCCACGUGUAGCGGUGAAAUGCGUAGAGAUGUGGAGGAACACCAGUGGCGAAGGCGACUCUCUGGUCUGUAACUGACGCUGAGGAGCGAAAGCGUGGGGAGCGAACAGGAUUAGAUACCCCGUGUAGUCCCUGUCUCUUAUA